This 429-nucleotide long non-coding RNA is filed under the name Androctonus crassicauda. Lineage: Eukaryota; Metazoa; Arthropoda; Arachnida; Scorpiones; Buthidae. The record is from RNAcentral.
UGAAAAACAAUUUUUGAAAGUGUUUUAGUAUCUACGGAUUGCGAGAAUUACAAAAAAAUACCGCCACAUGUACCGCCCAUUGGGCUAUUCAAGCAAUAAUAAUAAAAAUCCGUCAGAAGGCGGCUGUGUAUCACUGCGGAACACUAUUGAAGCUGCAAAGAGCAGUAUUAUGCAGAUUUAAGGCAAAUUCGGGUAUUCGGUGGUAGUACUCGAACCGCAGGUGCGAAAUGUCUUUCGCCAUCAUAGUUCGGCACAGACAUACUCAAGAACAAGAGUUUCCCGACUUGUUUCAGCUCUUUAUGAGCGCCGUGGAUGUACACAGACGCCCUCUGUCGGAUUCUUCUUGUUUGAAUAACCCAAUCGGCGGUACAGUCGGCCAGAUUGGCCGCGUGGAAACGCUUCAGCUUUCCACUCUGAAGGGGUCCCCGG